UCCUAGCCCCGAUAGGAAUGGUUACCCCACAGCUUGUGUUGGAGGGUGAAUGGGUUUGAGUGUGGGAAAGCACAGGCGCGAGGAGUAUGAAUGGAUAGCGGGAAACAGC
This 109-nucleotide unclassified non-coding RNA is filed under the name Chryseobacterium sp. RU33C. Its description in RNAcentral is "Flavo-1 RNA". The record is from RNAcentral. Lineage: Bacteria; Pseudomonadati; Bacteroidota; Flavobacteriia; Flavobacteriales; Weeksellaceae.